Molecule: transfer RNA, 84 nt
Filed under: Thermodesulfobacteriota bacterium
Lineage: Bacteria; Pseudomonadati; Thermodesulfobacteriota
Description: tRNA-Leu
Rfam family: tRNA
About the family: Transfer RNA (tRNA) molecules are approximately 80 nucleotides in length. Their secondary structure includes four short double-helical elements and three loops (D, anti-codon, and T loops).
Source: RNAcentral
GCCCGGGUGGCGGAAUUGGUAGACGCGCUGGAUUCAGGAUCCAGUGGGCGCAAGCCCGUGCGGGUUCAAGUCCCGCCCCGGGCA